AUGUCAUUGUCAAUCGGAGGCGGAGGGGGAGGCGGCGCGGCUUUGGCCAAAGGGGACGUUGCUGGCCUUCUGGACAAGGCCGAGGAGCUGGACCAGCUGCGGAAGGAGCAGGACGAUGUGGCCACCGAGAUCAAUAAGAUCCACAAGAAUAUCAUCUCCUAUAAGCAAUUUGCUCGAGGCCCGUCUCCCUUUUCCAUGCUAUCAUUUGUCUGGUUGUCAUUUAGGUCGAUUUGA
This 234-nucleotide ribosomal RNA is filed under the name Triticum aestivum (bread wheat). RNAcentral's name for it is "partial small subunit ribosomal RNA". The record is from RNAcentral. Lineage: Eukaryota; Viridiplantae; Streptophyta; Magnoliopsida; Poales; Poaceae.